GAUGUCUGGUGUGCCGUCACAUCAAAUUAUUAUGCAGCUUUCCAGUAUCUGCAGGAUAUUGGAGCACUGGACCCAGACAAUGAAAAACACCUAAUCUGUCUACACUAUGUCAUGGUGCCUAGACUGAAUAUGGACCUUGACCUGUUCAGACAGGUGUGGGACCGACAUCCCCUCUCAUCAGAAGGCAACAAAUCUCCGCAACAGUUGUGGGUUUCAGGUCAACUGUUGAAUACAGAUGCUCCAGCUGAUCCAAUGGAUUUCACUAACUUUGGAGUGGACUGGGAUGGUCCUGUUCCUGCAAUGGAUUGUGGUGUUGUUGCAGUUCCUGAGGCCCCCGCAUCCCUUCAGGAGGUUGUACUGGAAGAAGUCACCCACCACAUCCAUCCCCUAAUGUCAAGUCAAUGUUUUGGCUUAGAUCUAUACUUCGAGGCACUAAGAUUGAGUGAAAUGGUCACUAUUUAGGGGCCCAAGCUGUGUAGCUUUCUGAAAUUGUAUCAUUGGCCAAAGAGGCCCAGGUUGAUGUCAAGUUCCAGCUGCCCAUCUAAUAGAACAGACCUACAAGCCACCUCACUAAUCAAACCAUCUUAUAUGAUCUAAAUCUAAGCCCACCAUCUGAGCUAGUCUUCUCUCAGACCCUCCAAUAGAGUUCUACACAAUUCAGUGUCCUGCUCAAGCUUCUGUAGACUGUCGUUUCUGUCUCUUGGUUGUUCUCUGUGCAUUCUGUUUCAUCAGUGCUUUCAGAUUGUAAAAGCACACGUGUUUCUGCAUGGUGCCACUUUCAUUUCAUCAGAUCAACCUCAUCCAGUGCAGAGCCCCAUCAAAUCAGUCCACUAACAUACUGUUAAGGUUUUUUUUGUUCCAUUGGUUUAGAUCGGCUCAUUGUUACUACUGCUUUUUGUUUUGUCAAUGUUAUUGUUUGCUUGAUAUCA
Molecule: long non-coding RNA, 929 nt
Organism: Xyrauchen texanus (razorback sucker)
Lineage: Eukaryota; Metazoa; Chordata; Actinopteri; Cypriniformes; Catostomidae
Exons: 4
Source: RefSeq, a predicted model, not a curated record